ACUCGAUCUCAAANCAAGUAAGACUACCCGCUGAACUUAA
This 40-nucleotide ribosomal RNA is filed under the name Mortierellales sp. Its description in RNAcentral is "partial 28S ribosomal RNA". Lineage: Eukaryota; Fungi; Mortierellomycota. The record is from RNAcentral.